This 62-nucleotide transfer RNA is filed under the name Rodolia quadrimaculata. RNAcentral's name for it is "tRNA-Ser". The record is from RNAcentral. Lineage: Eukaryota; Metazoa; Arthropoda; Insecta; Coleoptera; Coccinellidae.
AACUAAUGAGCUUGAACAAGCAUAUAUUUUGAAAAUAUAAGAUAGAAUUUUUCUAUUAGUUU